Molecule: ribosomal RNA, 492 nt
Filed under: uncultured bacterium
Lineage: Bacteria
Description: partial 16S ribosomal RNA
Rfam family: Bacterial small subunit ribosomal RNA
Source: RNAcentral
AGUGAACGCUGGCGGUAGGCCUAACACAUGCAAGUCGAACGGCAGCACAGUAAGAGCUUGCUCUUACGGGUGGCGAGUGGCGGACGGGUGAGGAAUACAUCGGAAUCUACUUUUUCGUGGGGGAUAACGUAGGGAAACUUACGCUAAUACCGCAUACGACCUACGGGUGAAAGCAGGGGAUCUUCGGACCUUGCGCGAUUGAAUGAGCCGAUGUCGGAUUAGCUAGUUGGCGGGGUAAAGGCCCACCAAGGCGACGAUGCGUAGCUGGUCUGAGAGGAUGAUCAGCCACACUGGAACUGAGACACGGUCCAGACUCCUACGGGAGGCAGCAGUGGGGAAUAUUGGACAAUGGGCGCAAGCCUGACCCAGCCAUACCGCGUGGGUGAAGAAGGCCUUCGGGUUGUAAAGCCCUUUUGUUGGGAAAGAAAAGCAGCAGGUUAAUACCCCGCUGUUCUGACGGUACCCAAAGAAUAAGCACCGGCUAACUUCGUG